GAAAUUCGGAGCGACGCACUCCUCCUCCCAGCGCCGUUCCGACCUGAUUGGCAACACUCCUCCUCCCGGUUGCCAAUCGCCUUAAAUGACGCCCGCUGGAUCUCCUCCCCCAGCGGGCGUUAUUC
This 125-nucleotide small RNA is filed under the name Pararhizobium antarcticum. Its description in RNAcentral is "Alphaproteobacterial ar14". It matches the Rfam family "Alphaproteobacterial ar14". Rfam says of the family: Smr14C2 was renamed NfeR1 (Nodule Formation Efficiency RNA) highly expressed in salt stress and during the symbiotic interaction on legume roots. Lineage: Bacteria; Pseudomonadati; Pseudomonadota; Alphaproteobacteria; Hyphomicrobiales; Rhizobiaceae. The record is from Rfam by way of RNAcentral.